Molecule: long non-coding RNA, 307 nt
Organism: Etheostoma cragini (Arkansas darter)
Lineage: Eukaryota; Metazoa; Chordata; Actinopteri; Perciformes; Percidae
Exons: 3
Source: RefSeq, a predicted model, not a curated record
CCCUCCUGCCCCUCUUUUAUAGCUUGGAGAAUUCCCCACCAUGGACGGGAUCCCCAGUGAACACUUCUCUGUGUCCCUUCCUUCCUCAGCCAUCUGUCCAUCCAUCAGCAGGGCACCUCAGAUGGAUCCUCCUACCACGAAGACCAUUAGAAGACCAUUCCUCCCGGCUGUGUAGAUAGAUAAAUCGGUCCAUCAUCAGGAGCAUGUGUCAGUGAGAAAUGCAGUGGGUGCUGGAGGGGAUAGUCAGACAGUGGAUAAAAGGCAGCAGAUGAUCCAGAGUGGACAGACUGAAGACAAUGAAAAGCAC